GAUGAACGCUGGCGGCGUGCCUAAUACAUGCAAGUAGAACGCUGAAGGAAGGAGCUUGCUCUUUCCGGAUGAGUUGCGCACGGGUGAGUAACGCGUAGGUAACCUGCCUGGUAGCGGGGGAUAACUAUUGGAAACGAUAGCUAAUACCGCAUAACAGUAGAUGUUGCAUGAUAUCUACUUAAAAGGUGCAAUUGCACCACUACCAGAUGGACCUGCGUUGUAUUAGCUAGUUGGUGAGGUAACGGCUCGCCAAGGCGACGAUACAUAGCCGACCUGAGAGGGUGAUCGGCCACACUGGGACUGAGACACGGCCCAGACUCCUGCGGGAGGCAGCAGUAGGGAAUCUUCGGCAAUGGACGGAAGUCUGACCGAGCAACGCGGCGUGAGUGAAGAAGGUUUUCGGAUCGUAAAGCUCUGUUGUAAGAGAAGAACGAGUGUGAGAGUGGAAAGUUCACACUGUGACGGUAUCUUACCAGAAAGGGACGGCUAACUACGUG
RNAcentral lists this ribosomal RNA (497 nucleotides) under uncultured bacterium. Its description in RNAcentral is "partial 16S ribosomal RNA". It matches the Rfam family "Bacterial small subunit ribosomal RNA", at positions 28 to 507 of the family's 1533-position model. The record is from RNAcentral.